UGGGGAAUAUUGGACAAUGGACGAAAGCCUGAUCCAGCCAUGCCGCGUGUGUGAAGAAGGUCUUCGGAUUGUAAAGCACUUUAAGUUGGGAGGAAGGGCAUUAACCUAAUACGUUAGUGUUUUGACGUUACCGACAGAAUAAGCACCGGCUAACUCUGUGGCAGAAGCCGCGGUAAUACAGAGGGUGCAAGCGUUAAUCGGAAUUACUGGGCGUAAAGCGCGCGUAGGUGGUUUGUUAAGUUGGAUGUGAAAUCCCCGGGCUCAACCUGGGAACUGCAUUCAAAACUGACUGACUAGAGUAUGGUAGAGGGUGGUGGAAUUUCCUGUGUAGCGGUGAAAUGCGUAGAUAUAGGAAGGAACACCAGUGGCGAAGGCGACCACCUGGACUAAUACUGACACUGAGGUGCGAAAGCGUGGGGAGCAAACA
This 427-nucleotide ribosomal RNA is filed under the name uncultured bacterium. Its description in RNAcentral is "partial 16S ribosomal RNA". It matches the Rfam family "Bacterial small subunit ribosomal RNA", at positions 355 to 774 of the family's 1533-position model. The record is from RNAcentral.